UAGCCGUAAACGAUACUCGCUAGGUGUCGGCCACGGUGCGACCGUUGUCGGUGCCGUAGGGAAGCCGUGAAGCGAGCCACCUGGGAAGUACGGCCGCAAGGCUGAAACUUAAAGGAAUUGGCGGGGGAGCACAACAACGGGUGGAGCUUGCGGUUUAAUUGGAUUCAACGCCGGAAAUCUUUACCGGGACCGACAGCAACAUGAAGGCCAGGCUGAAGACUUUGCCGGAUUAGCUGAGAGGAGGUGCAUGGCGUAGUCGUGU
Molecule: ribosomal RNA, 262 nt
Filed under: uncultured archaeon
Lineage: Archaea
Description: partial 16S ribosomal RNA
Rfam family: Archaeal small subunit ribosomal RNA
Source: RNAcentral